Molecule: ribosomal RNA, 450 nt
Filed under: Priestia sp.
Lineage: Bacteria; Bacillati; Bacillota; Bacilli; Caryophanales; Bacillaceae
Description: bacterial SSU rRNA
Rfam family: Bacterial small subunit ribosomal RNA
Source: RNAcentral
CUCAGGAUGAACGCUGGCGGCGUGCCUAAUACAUGCAAGUCGAGCGAACUGAUUAGAAGCUUGCUUCUAUGACGUUAGCGGCGGACGGGUGAGUAACACGUGGGCAACCUGCCUGUAAGACUGGGAUAACUUCGGGAAACCGAAGCUAAUACCGGAUAGGAUCUUCUCCUUCAUGGGAGAUGAUUGAAAGAUGGUUUCGGCUAUCACUUACAGAUGGGCCCGCGGUGCAUUAGCUAGUUGGUGAGGUAACGGCUCACCAAGGCAACGAUGCAUAGCCGACCUGAGAGGGUGAUCGGCCACACUGGGACUGAGACACGGCCCAGACUCCUACGGGAGGCAGCAGUAGGGAAUCUUCCGCAAUGGACGAAAGUCUGACGGAGCAACGCCGCGUGAGUGAUGAAGGCUUUCGGGUCGUAAAACUCUGUUGUUAGGGAAGAACAAGUACAAGAG